AUACGGGGGGUGCAAGCGUUAUUCGGAUUUAUUGGGCGUAAAGGGCGCGCAGGCGGUUUGGUAAGUCAGAGGUGAAAGUCCAGGGCUUAACCCUGGAAGUGCAUAUAAAACUGUCAGACUUGAGUAUCAGAGGGGAAAGUGGAAUUCCCGGUGUAGAGGUGAAAUUCGUAGAUAUCGGGAGGAAUACCGGUGGCGAGGGCGACUUUCUGGCUGAAUACUGACGCUGAAGCGCGAAAGCGUGGGGAGCAAACAGGAUUAGAAACCCCAGUAGUCC
This 274-nucleotide ribosomal RNA is filed under the name uncultured bacterium. Its description in RNAcentral is "partial 16S ribosomal RNA". It matches the Rfam family "Bacterial small subunit ribosomal RNA", at positions 523 to 796 of the family's 1533-position model. The record is from RNAcentral.